Molecule: ribosomal RNA, 490 nt
Filed under: uncultured bacterium
Lineage: Bacteria
Description: partial 16S ribosomal RNA
Rfam family: Bacterial small subunit ribosomal RNA
Source: RNAcentral
AUUGAACGCUGGCGGCAGGCCUAACACAUGCGAGUCGAACGGUAACAGGAAGCAGCUUGCUGCUUUGCUGACGGGUGGCGGACGGGUGAGUAAUGUCUGGGAAACUGCCCGAUGGAGGGGGAUAACUACUGGAAACGGUAGCUAAUACCGCAUAACGUCGCAAGACCAAAGAGGGGGACCUUAGGGCCUCUUGCCAUCGGAUGUGCCCAGAUGGGAUUAGCUAGUAGGUGGGGUAACGGCUCACCUAGGCGACGAUCCCUAGCUGGUCUGAGAGGAUGACCAGCCACACUGGAACUGAGACACGGUCCAGACUCCUACGGGAGGCAGCAGUGGGGAAUAUUGCACAAUGGGCGCAAGCCUGAUGCAGCCAUGCCGCGUGUAUGAAGAAGGCCUUCGGGUUGUAAAGUACUUUCAGCGGGGAGGAAGGGAGUAAAGUUAAUACCUUUGCUCAUUGACGUUACCCGCAGAAGAAGCACCGGCUAACUCCGUG